GUAGGGAAUAUUGGGCAAUGGAUGCAAGUCUGACCCAGCCAUGCCGCGUGCAGGAAGAAGGUCCUCUGGAUUGUAAACUGCUUUUUUGGGGGAAGAAGAGACACCUUGCGAGGUGUUGUGACGGUACCCUAAGAAUAAGCCACGGCUAACUACGUGCCAGCAGCCGCGGUAAUACGUAGGUGGCAAGCGUUGUCCGGAUUUAUUGGGUUUAAAGGGUGCGUAGGUGGUUUAAUAAGUCAGUGGUGAAAGCUGGUUGCUCAACAAUCAAGUUGCCAUUGAUACUGUUAGACUUGAGAGAAGUGGAGGCUGGUGGAAUGGAUGGUGUAGCGGUGAAAUGCAUAGAUAUCAUCCAGAACGUCAAUUGCGAAGGCAGCUGGCUGUACUUUUUCUGACACUGAGGCACGAAAGUGUGGGGAUCAAACAGGAUUAGAUACCCGGGUAGUCC
RNAcentral lists this ribosomal RNA (445 nucleotides) under uncultured Runella sp. RNAcentral describes it as "bacterial SSU rRNA". It matches the Rfam family "Bacterial small subunit ribosomal RNA", at positions 354 to 796 of the family's 1533-position model. The record is from RNAcentral. Lineage: Bacteria; Pseudomonadati; Bacteroidota; Cytophagia; Cytophagales; Spirosomataceae.